Molecule: ribosomal RNA, 433 nt
Filed under: uncultured bacterium
Lineage: Bacteria
Description: partial 16S ribosomal RNA
Rfam family: Bacterial small subunit ribosomal RNA
Source: RNAcentral
AACGAACGCUGGCGGCAUGCCUAACACAUGCAAGUCGAACGAGACCUUCGGGUCUAGUGGCGCACGGGUGCGUAACGCGUGGGAAUCUGCCCUUGGGUUCGGGAUAACAGUUGGAAACGACUGCUAAUACCGGAUGAUGACUUCGGUCCAAAGAUUUAUCGCCCAGGGAUGAUCCCGCGUCGGAUUAGCUAGUUGGUGAGGUAAGAGCUCACCAAGGCGACGAUCCGUAGCUGGUCUGAGAGGAUGAUCAGCCACACUGGGACUGAGACACGGCCCAGACUCCUACGGGAGGCAGCAGUGGGGAAUAUUGGACAAUGGGCGAAAGCCUGAUCCAGCAAUGCCGCGUGAGUGAUGAAGGCCUUAGGGUUGUAAAGCUCUUUUACCCGGGAUGAUAAUGACAGUACCGGGAGAAUAAGCCCCGGCUAACUCCGUG